AAGCUCGUAGUUGAAUUUCGGGCAUUGUGGUCAGGUCUUCCUUAAUUGGCUGUACUUGGUUCGCUUUGCCUUAUCUUCUAGAUGCUAACAUGCUUCGCGGUGUGUUAUGUGCUCUAGGACUUUUACUGUGAAUAAAUUAGAGUGUUCAAAGCAGGCUUACGCUUGAAUACAUUAGCAUGGAAUAAUAAAAUAGGACUUUGGUUUUAUUUUGUUGGUUUAAAACCAGGUAAUGAUUAAUAGGGAUAGUUGGG
This 251-nucleotide ribosomal RNA is filed under the name uncultured fungus. Its description in RNAcentral is "partial 18S ribosomal RNA". It matches the Rfam family "Eukaryotic small subunit ribosomal RNA", at positions 624 to 886 of the family's 1831-position model. Lineage: Eukaryota; Fungi. The record is from RNAcentral.